RNAcentral lists this long non-coding RNA (415 nucleotides) under Salvia miltiorrhiza (redroot sage). Its description in RNAcentral is "long non-coding RNA (SMIL_LNC013974)". Lineage: Eukaryota; Viridiplantae; Streptophyta; Magnoliopsida; Lamiales; Lamiaceae. The record is from RNAcentral.
GGAGUCAAGCAUCAAGUCAAGUAUAUAAGAGUCAACCAGUCAUAUAUUUUCAUUCAAGUAUGCUGGUGAAUUUGUUAUUUGUUAAAUGUGCGGUGAGUUUAUGAAUUAGUGGUGGUGGAUCGGUGGUGAUAGUGGCGAUUGUUCGAUGGUGGCAUGCGGUGGUCGUCGACAAUCGGUGGGUGGUGGUUAUCGGCCGAUGGUGGCAUGCGGUGGUUCUCGCUUGCUGGUGGGUGGUCUUGGGGCUCCUCUAUUUUAUUUUUUUAUAUUAAUUAUUUUUAUGAUUUUAAUAAAAUAAUUGGUACAUAAGGAUAAAAAAUAUCUUAAAUGAGUGUAAUUUUUUUAUUGUUUUUAAAUGAGGAUAUCUUUUAAGUUUUGUUUUUAAAAAAAUAUAUAUCAUUUUGUCCCUUUAUUUUUU